CUGUGAGCUCGAUGAGUAGGGCGGGACACGUGGUAUCCUGUCUGAAUAUGGGGGGACCAUCCUCCAAGGCUAAAUACUCCUGACUGACCGAUAGUGAACCAGUACCGUGAGGGAAAGGCGAAAAGAACCCCGGCGAGGGGAGUGAAAAAGAACCUGAAACCGUGUACGUACAAGCAGUGGGAGCCUCUUAAUGGGGUGACUGCGUACCUUUUGUAUAAUGGGUCAGCGACUUAUAUUCUGUAGCAAGGUUAACCGAAUAGGGGAGCCGAAGGGAAACCGAGUCUUAACUGGGCGUUAAGUUGCAGGGUAUAGACCCGAAACCCGGUGAUCUAGCCAUGGGCAGGUUGAAGGUUGGGUAACACUAACUGGAGGACCGAACCGACUAAUGUUGAAAAAUUAGCGGAUGACUUGUGGCUGGGGGUGAAAGGCCAAUCAAACCGGGAGAUAGCUGGUUCUCCCCGAAAGCUAUUUAGGUAGCGCCUCGUGAAUUCAUCUCCGGGGGUAGAGCACUGUUUCGGCAAGGGGGUCAUCCCGACUUACCAACCCGAUGCAAACUGCGAAUACCGGAGAAUGUUAUCACGGGAGACACACGGCGGGUGCUAACGUCCGUCGUGAAGAGGGAAACAACCCAGACCGCCAGCUAAGGUCCCAAAGUCAUGGUUAAGUGGGAAACGAUGUGGGAAGGCCCAGACAGCCAGGAUGUUGGCUUAGAAGCAGCCAUCAUUUAAAGAAAGCGUAAUAGCUCACUGGUCGAGUCGGCCUGCGCGGAAGAUGUAACGGGGCUAAACCAUGCACCGAAGCUGCGGCAGCGACACUAUGUGUUGUUGGGUAGGGGAGCGUUCUGUAAGCCUGUGAAGGUGUGCUGUGAGGCAUGCUGGAGGUAUCAGAAGUGCGAAUGCUGACAUAAGUAACGAUAAAGCGGGUGAAAAGCCCGCUCGCCGGAAGACCAAGGGUUCCUGUCCAACGUUAAUCGGGGCAGGGUGAGUCGACCCCUAAGGCGAGGCCGAAAGGCGUAGUCGAUGGGAAACAGGUUAAUAUUCCUGUACUUGGUGUUACUGCGAAGGGGGGACGGAGAAGGCUAUGUUGGCCGGGCGACGGUUGUCCCGGUUUAAGCGUGUAGGCUGGUUUUCCAGGCAAAUCCGGAAAACCAAGGCUGAGGCGUGAUGACGAGGCACUACGGUGCUGAAGCGACAAAUGCCCUGCUUCCAGGAAAAGCCUCUAAGCAUCAGGUAACAUCAAAUCGUACCCCAAACCGACACAGGUGGUCAGGUAGAGAAUACCAAGGCGCUUGAGAGAACUCGGGUGAAGGAACUAGGCAAAAUGGUGCCGUAACUUCGGGAGAAGGCACGCUGAUAUGUAGGUGAAGCGACUUGCUCGUGGAGCUGAAAUCAGUCGAAGAUACCAGCUGGCUGCAACUGUUUAUUAAAAACACAGCACUGUGCAAACACGAAAGUGGACGUAUACGGUGUGACGCCUGCCCGGUGCCGGAAGGUUAAUUGAUGGGGUUAGCGGUAACGCGAAGCUCUUGAUCGAAGCCCCGGUAAACGGCGGCCGUAACUAUAACGGUCCUAAGGUAGCGAAAUUCCUUGUCGGGUAAGUUCCGACCUGCACGAAUGGCGUAAUGAUGGCCAGGCUGUCUCCACCCGAGACUCAGUGAAAUUGAACUCGCUGUGAAGAUGCAGUGUACCCGCGGCAAGACGGAAAGACCCCGUGAACCUUUACUAUAGCUUGACACUGAACAUUGAGCCUUGAUGUGUAGGAUAGGUGGGAGGCUUUGAAGUGUGGACGCCAGUCUGCAUGGAGCCGACCUUGAAAUACCACCCUUUAAUGUUUGAUGUUCUAACGUUGGCCCGUAAUCCGGGUUGCGGACAGUGUCUGGUGGGUAGUUUGACUGGGGCGGUCUCCUCCUAAAGAGUAACGGAGGAGCACGAAGGUUGGCUAAUCCUGGUCGGACAUCAGGAGGUUAGUGCAAUGGCAUAAGCCAGCUUGACUGCGAGCGUGACGGCGCGAGCAGGUGCGAAAGCAGGUCAUAGUGAUCCGGUGGUUCUGAAUGGAAGGGCCAUCGCUCAACGGAUAAAAGGUACUCCGGGGAUAACAGGCUGAUACCGCCCAAGAGUUCAUAUCGACGGCGGUGUUUGGCACCUCGAUGUCGGCUCAUCACAUCCUGGGGCUGAAGUAGGUCCCAAGGGUAUGGCUGUUCGCCAUUUAAAGUGGUACGCGAGCUGGGUUUAGAACGUCGUGAGACAGUUCGGUCCCUAUCUGCCGUGGGCGCUGGAGAACUGAGGGGGGCUGCUCCUAGUACGAGAGGACCGGAGUGGACGCAUCACUGGUGUUCGGGUUGUCAUGCCAAUGGCACUGCCCGGUAGCUAAAUGCGGAAGAGAUAAGUGCUGAAAGCAUCUAAGCACGAAACUUGCCCCGAGAUGAGUUCUCCCUGAGACUUAGAGUCUCCUGAAGGAACGUUGAAGACGACGACGUUGAUAGGCCGGGUGUGUAAGCGCAGCGAUGCGUUGAGCUAACCGGUACUAAUGAACCGUGAGGCUUAACCUUACAACGCCGAAG
RNAcentral lists this ribosomal RNA (2560 nucleotides) under Escherichia coli. RNAcentral's name for it is "partial 23S ribosomal RNA". It matches the Rfam family "Bacterial large subunit ribosomal RNA", at positions 397 to 2925 of the family's 2925-position model. The record is from RNAcentral. Lineage: Bacteria; Pseudomonadati; Pseudomonadota; Gammaproteobacteria; Enterobacterales; Enterobacteriaceae.